Non-coding RNA from Phthorimaea operculella (potato tuberworm), 72 nucleotides. NCBI's taxonomy places the organism in Eukaryota, Metazoa, Arthropoda, Insecta, Lepidoptera, Gelechiidae. The record is from the annotation of a GenBank genome assembly.
GCAUCGAAUGCUCAGUGGCAGAGCGACGUAGCGUUGACCUAUGCGGCCCGGGUUUGAACCCCGAUCGAUGCA